GUGGGUUGCACGACUCCCAAAAACCCUGUGAACAUACCUGUAUCGUCGUUGCUUCGGCGGGUUGGCACGGCCUGCGGGCACCGGGAGACCGGACCCGCGGCGCUGCGCCAGGCGCCGCCACAAUUACCCUGUACCGUCCGACGGGCGGGGCAAAUUGCGGCGGUACCGCCUGCCGGAGGGCCUAACCAAACCCAACACGUUUGUCUCUAGUGGUCUCGUCUGAGUUGGCAUGCGGAAUACGCUGAAACA
This 249-nucleotide unclassified non-coding RNA is filed under the name uncultured Ascomycota. RNAcentral's name for it is "sequence contains ITS1". The record is from RNAcentral. Lineage: Eukaryota; Fungi; Ascomycota.